UACGAGUAUAAACUUAAAAUUUAAAAGACUUGACGGUACCUCACAACAACCUAGAGGAGCCUGUCUAAUAACCGAUACCCCACGAUUAAACCCAACCCCCCCUAGCCACAGUCUAUAUACCGCCGUCGCCAGCCUACCUUGUAAAAGAAACAAAGUAAGCCCAAUAGUAACACACUAGCACGACAGGUCGAGGUGUAACUUAUGGGCGGGCUAAGAUGGGCUACAUUUUCUAUUACAGAAAAUACGAAUAGACUAUGAAACAAGAAACUGAAGGCGGAUUUAGCAGUAAACUAAGAAUAAAAUACCUAGUCGAAACCAACGCAAUGAGGUGCGUACACACCGCCCGUCAUCCCUGCUAACCACCACAAACACUACAUAAUAUAAUGUUAAACCAUAAAACAGGGCAAGUC
This 410-nucleotide ribosomal RNA is filed under the name Ptyas korros. RNAcentral's name for it is "partial 12S ribosomal RNA". Lineage: Eukaryota; Metazoa; Chordata; Lepidosauria; Squamata; Colubridae. The record is from RNAcentral.